GAUGAACGCUAGCUACAGGCUUAACACAUGCAAGUCGAGGGGAAACGAUAUUGGAAGCUUGCUUCCGAUAGGCGUCGACCGGCGCACGGGUGAGUAACGCGUAUCCAACCUGCCCAUCACUUGGGGAUAACCUUGCGAAAGUAAGACUAAUACCCAAUGACGUCUCUAGAAGACAUCUGAAAGAGAUUAAAGAUUUAUCGGUGAUGGAUGGGGAUGCGUCUGAUUAGCUUGUUGGCGGGGUAACGGCCCACCAAGGCGACGAUCAGUAGGGGUUCUGAGAGGAAGGUCCCCCACAUUGGAACUGAGACACGGUCCAAACUCCUACGGGAGGCAGCAGUGAGGAAUAUUGGUCAAUGGACGAGAGUCUGAACCAGCCAAGUAGCGUGCAGGAAGACGGCCCUAUGGGUUGUAAACUGCUUUAUAAGGGAAUAAAGUGAGUCUCGUGAGGCUUUUUGCAUGUACCUUAUGAAUAAGGACCGG
RNAcentral lists this ribosomal RNA (480 nucleotides) under uncultured bacterium. RNAcentral describes it as "bacterial SSU rRNA". It matches the Rfam family "Bacterial small subunit ribosomal RNA", at positions 28 to 496 of the family's 1533-position model. The record is from RNAcentral.